UGAAUACGAGAUGCUAAGGCGUCGAAGUAGUGUAUGUCAUGCUUCCAAGAAAAGCUUGCAAUGUCAUGAAUAAAAAAUGCCUGUACCAUAACCGACACAGGUGGGUAAGUAGAGUAUACUAAGGGGCGCGAGAUAACUCUCUCUAAGGAACUCGGCAAAAUAACUCCGUAACUUCGGGAGAAGGAGUGCCUUAUUCUUAAGGUUGCAAUAACAAGAUCCAAGCAACUGUUUAUCAAAAACACAGGUCUCCGCUAAGUCGUAAGACGAUGUAUGGGGGCUGACGCCUGCCCAGUGCCAGAAGGUUAAAGAGGUCGGUUAGCAAUUGCGAAGCUGGUAACUGAAGCCCUGGUGAACGGCGGCCGUAACAAUAACGGUCCUAAGGUAGCGAAAUUCCUUGUCGGGUAAGUUCCGACCCGCACGAAAGGCGUAAUGAUUUGGAUGCUGUCUCGGAGAGGGGCUCGGUGAAAUAGACUUGUCUGUGAAGAUGCGGACUACCUGCACCAGGACAGAAAGACCCUAUGAAGCUUUACUGUAACUUGAAAUUGAAAUUGGACUUUAUUCGCGCAGUAUAGGUGGUAGGCGUUGAUUAUAAUCUUGCGGGAUUAUCGGAGCCAUCAGUGAGAUACCACUCUUCUAAUGUUAGAUUUCUAACUUUGAAUCUUAUCUGGUCAAAGGACAAUUUCAGGCGGGCAGUUUGACUGGGGCGGUCGCCUCCUAAAUGGUAACGGAGGCGUACAAAGGUUUCCUCUGAACGGUUAGAAAUCGUAUCUAGAGUGUAAAGGCAUAAGGAAGCUUGACUGUGAGACCUACAAGUCGAGCAGGGACGAAAGUCGGUCUUAGUGAUCUGACGGUACUGAGUGGAAAGGCCGUCACUCAACGGAUAAAAGUUACUCUAAGGAUAACAGGCUGAUCUCCCCCAAGAGUUCACAUCGACGGGGAGGUUUGGCACCUCGAUGUCGGCUCAUCGCAUCCUGGGGCGGUAGUACGUCCCAAGGGUUGGGCUGUUCGCCCAUGAAAGCGGUACGCGAGCUGGGUUCAGAACGUCGUGAGACAGUUCGGUCCAUAUCCUGUGUAGGCGUUAGAAUAUUGAGAGGAGCCUUCUUUAGUACGAGAGGACCGAGAAGGACAUACCUCUGGUGUACCAGUUAUCGUGCCAACGGUAAACGCUGGGUAGCUAUGUAUGGAGUGGAUAACCGCUGAAAGCAUCUAAGUGGGAAGCCCACCUCAAGAUAAGUAUUCUCA
RNAcentral lists this ribosomal RNA (1242 nucleotides) under metagenome. RNAcentral describes it as "bacterial LSU rRNA". It matches the Rfam family "Bacterial large subunit ribosomal RNA", at positions 1564 to 2816 of the family's 2925-position model. The record is from RNAcentral.